RNAcentral lists this ribosomal RNA (144 nucleotides) under uncultured bacterium. RNAcentral's name for it is "partial 16S ribosomal RNA". The record is from RNAcentral.
UCAUUAGAUACCCAGGUAGUCCAUGCCGUAAACGAUGAGUGCUAGGUGUUCAAGCCAUGGGAGCCGGGGGUGCCUGAAGUUCGUUACCGUAAGGAUCGACCUAGGGCAAAACUGGUGACUGGGGCUAAGUCGUAACAAGGUAUC